This is a non-coding RNA of Podarcis lilfordi (Lilford's wall lizard), 80 nucleotides long. The record is from the annotation of a GenBank genome assembly. NCBI's taxonomy places the organism in Eukaryota, Metazoa, Chordata, Lepidosauria, Squamata, Lacertidae.
UGUGUGUGUGUUUAUGUAUAUAGGUGUGGGUGUGGGUACACAAACACACACACACACACACACACACACACACACACACA